CAUUGCUCUGUUUCCUCUUUUCUUUGUACAGAGAUAUGAAGAGAUUUGCUGAAUGUGGAAUAUAACUUUUCAGAACCACCUUUGUUUUAUUCUGUGUUUGUUGCAACAAUGUUUGGGAGAUUGACUUUUCCACAACUGCUUUUUGCUGGAGUCCUUGGACUUGCUGGAGGAAUAUAUAUUUAUCAACCAAUAUUUGAACAAUAUUCCAGGGAGCAGAAGGAAUUAAAAGAAAGGGCGAAAUUGGCACAAGCAUCAGAAGAGAAGAAAAGUUAAUACUACCUGGAGUUGAAUUGUAACAGUUGAUUAAAAUUUUGCUGAAAUUAUACACUGACCUAGGAAAAACUUAGGUAUUUUUUAAACACAAAUAAAUAAUGGAUAA
RNAcentral lists this long non-coding RNA (379 nucleotides) under Marmota monax (woodchuck). The record is from RNAcentral. Lineage: Eukaryota; Metazoa; Chordata; Mammalia; Rodentia; Sciuridae.